UACACUCCUGCGGGAGGCAGCAGUGGGGAAUAUUGCACAAUGGGCGCAAGCCUGAUGCAGCCAUGCCGCGUGUAUGAAGAAGGCCUUCGGGUUGUAAAGUACUUUCAGCGGGGAGGAAGGCAAUACGGUUAAUAACCGUGUUGAUUGACGUUACCCGCAGAAGAAGCACCGGCUAACUCCGUGCCAGCAGCCGCGGUAAUACGGAGGGUGCAAGCGUUAAUCGGAAUUACUGGGCGUAAAGCGCACGCAGGCGGUCUGUCAAGUCGGAUGUGAAAUCCCCGGGCUCAACCUGGGAACUGCAUUCGAAACUGGCAGGCUUGAGUCUUGUAGAGGGGGGUAGAAUUCCAGGUGUAGCGGUGAAAUGCGUAGAGAUCUGGAGGAAUACCGGUGGCGAAGGCGGCCCCCUGGACAAAGACUGACGCUCAGGUGCGAAAGCGUGGGGAGCAAACAGGAUUAGAAACCCCAGUAGUCCC
Molecule: ribosomal RNA, 473 nt
Filed under: uncultured organism
Description: partial 16S ribosomal RNA
Rfam family: Bacterial small subunit ribosomal RNA
Source: RNAcentral